GAUGAACGCUGGCGGCGUGCCUAAUACAUGCAAGUCGAGCGAACAGACGAGGAGCUUGCUCCUCUGACGUUAGCGGCGGACGGGGGAGUAACACGUGGAUAACCUACCUAUAAGACUGGGAUAACUUCGGGAAACCGGAGCUAAUACCGGAUAAUAUAUUGAACCGCAUGGUUCAAUAGUGAAAGACGGUUUUGCUGUCACUUAUAGAUGGAUCCGCGCCGCAUUAGCUAGUUGGUAAGGUAACGGCUUACCAAGGCAACGAUGCGUAGCCGACCUGAGAGGAUGAUCGGCCACACUGGAGCUGAGACACGGUCCAGACUCCUACGGGAGGCAGCAGUAGGGAAUCUUCCGCAAUGGGCGAAAGCUGGACGGAGCAACGCCGCGUGAGUGAUGAAGGUCGUCGGAUCGUAAAACUCUGUUAUUAGGGAAGAACAAAUGUGUAAGUAACUAGGCACGUCUUGACGGUACCUAUUCAGAAAGACACGGCUAACUACGUGC
This 498-nucleotide ribosomal RNA is filed under the name uncultured bacterium. RNAcentral describes it as "partial 16S ribosomal RNA". It matches the Rfam family "Bacterial small subunit ribosomal RNA", at positions 28 to 508 of the family's 1533-position model. The record is from RNAcentral.